This 402-nucleotide ribosomal RNA is filed under the name Triticum aestivum (bread wheat). RNAcentral's name for it is "partial small subunit ribosomal RNA". Lineage: Eukaryota; Viridiplantae; Streptophyta; Magnoliopsida; Poales; Poaceae. The record is from RNAcentral.
AUGCUAAGAAGUGGAUGGGCGAGGAAGUCAUGGUGGAUUUCAAGAAGUACAUCAAAUGGCUGGACCAAUUCAAAGUAUGUGGAGUAUGGCCUGGAUGAGCUUCAACAUCAGUGCUUCAGCGUGGAGAGCUAUGACCAUACCUUCCAUCACUUCAACUUCACCGUUAAGAUGAAGAAGCCAGACAGUGAUUGGUCAUCGACGCCCUAUUUUGCUCAAGUGAAAGAGAUCUAUGGAAGAAAAUAUUAUACCUGCUACAAACUAAGCUCAUAUGAUGAUGGUCACUGCUACGCAUGCAUAAAUCAAGGAAUGCAUGCACUGAAGCACCCUAUUGGUGAGUUCGGGUACGACAGUGGCUAUCCUGACACGGGGUCCCCCUUCAUUUAUCUUAGUGAUGAUGAAUAA